This is a long non-coding RNA of Rana temporaria (common frog), 596 nucleotides long. RefSeq lists it as uncharacterized. The record is from RefSeq and is a predicted model, not a curated record. The transcript is spliced from 3 exons. NCBI's taxonomy places the organism in Eukaryota, Metazoa, Chordata, Amphibia, Anura, Ranidae.
CCAUAUAUUUAUAUAAAUAUUUUCAUGUAUAAUCUGUGAGUGUAAUCAUCGAUAUAACCUGAAAGAAGAAUGGACGGACCACAAGGCAGAGGGCAAAAUGAUGGAAUGUAACAUAGGUUGCGAUAUGUAUAUUCAACACAAAGUGGCGAUCUAACGUAUUGUCAGUGGAACGCAAAGACAGGAAGUGAUGUCAGUUGCAGACAGGAAGUGAUGCAAGAGUAUAAAAAGGAAGUUCCGGGUGAGAGGUGAAUCAGAGGGGAAGUAGAGAACUUCCUGGAACUGGCAGCAAUAGAGGUUUUUAGGUGAUAACAUGCUUGAGGUGAUGGUAGCCGUAUUAUGGACCUUGAAGAGUUGAAAUAGAUCAUUGUUUUGUGGGAUGUCUACGGUUCCAGCAACCAAUGACUGCUGAGCAAGCGGGGAUAUGGUACAUAAGACUCGUGGACUGACGGUCCGGACAGGAACCUCGCUCAGUCCGUGUUUGGACCGCGAUCCGCCAUUUAAUGACGGCUGCUCUAAGUCAACUCCAUUAAUCCAACGUGAGGAAGGGGAGUAUUUAGAAGGACACAUGGACAAUCAGCUGCCCCUCACAUCACCGG